UGGCAGUGUUGAAAGACGUC
Molecule: microRNA, 20 nt
Filed under: Caenorhabditis remanei
Lineage: Eukaryota; Metazoa; Nematoda; Chromadorea; Rhabditida; Rhabditidae
Description: crm-miR-2227
Source: miRBase by way of RNAcentral